GAUGAACGCUGGCGGCGUGCCUAAUACAUGCAAGUCGAGCGAACGGACGAGAAGCUUGCUUCCCUGAUGUUAGCGGCGGACGGGUGAGUAACACGUGGAUAACCUACCUAUAAGACUGGGAUAACUUCGGGAAACCGCAGCUAAUACCGGAUGAUAUUUUGAACCGCAUGGUUCAAAAGUGAAAGACGGUCUUGCUGUCACUUAUAGACGGAUCCGCGCUGCAUUAGCUAGUUGGUAAGGUAACGGCCUACCAAGGCAACGAUGCAUAGCCGACCUGAGAGGGUGAUCAGCCACACUGGAACUGAGACACGGUCCAGACUCCUACGGGAGGCAGCAGUAGGGAAUCUUCCGCAAUGGGCGAAGGCCUGACGGAGCAACGCCGCGUGAGUGAUGAAGGUCUUCGGAUCGUAAAACUCUGUUAUUAGGGAAGAACAUAUGUGUAAGUAACUGUGCACAUCUUGACGGUACCUAAUCAGAAAGCAACGGCUAACUACGUG
RNAcentral lists this ribosomal RNA (497 nucleotides) under uncultured bacterium. RNAcentral describes it as "partial 16S ribosomal RNA". It matches the Rfam family "Bacterial small subunit ribosomal RNA", at positions 28 to 507 of the family's 1533-position model. The record is from RNAcentral.